RNAcentral lists this ribosomal RNA (120 nucleotides) under Salmonella enterica. RNAcentral describes it as "partial 23S ribosomal RNA". It matches the Rfam family "Bacterial large subunit ribosomal RNA", at positions 2820 to 2925 of the family's 2925-position model. RNAcentral also lists the same sequence under 3 other names. Lineage: Bacteria; Pseudomonadati; Pseudomonadota; Gammaproteobacteria; Enterobacterales; Enterobacteriaceae. The record is from RNAcentral.
UUAAGGCUCCUGAAGGAACGUUGAAGACGACGACGUUGAUAGGCCGGGUGUGUAAGCGCAGCGAUGCGUUGAGCUAACCGGUACUAAUGAACCGUGAGGCUUAACCUUACAACGCCGAAG